This 683-nucleotide ribosomal RNA is filed under the name uncultured Lachnospiraceae bacterium. Its description in RNAcentral is "bacterial SSU rRNA". It matches the Rfam family "Bacterial small subunit ribosomal RNA", at positions 29 to 722 of the family's 1533-position model. The record is from RNAcentral. Lineage: Bacteria; Bacillati; Bacillota; Clostridia; Lachnospirales; Lachnospiraceae.
ACGAACGCUGGCGGCGUGCCUGACACAUGCAAGUCGAACGGAGAUACAGGGGCUUGCCCUUGUAUCUUAGUGGCGGACGGGCGAGUAACGCGUGAGGAACCUGCCCUUCAGUGGGGAAUAACGGCUGGAAACGGUCGCUAAUACCGCAUGACACAUUGGUACCGCAUGAUACUGAUGUCAAAGGAGCAAUCCGCUGAAGGAUGGCCUUGCGUCCGAUUAGCUAGUUGGUGGGGUAACGGCCUACCAAGGCGACGAUCGGUAGCCGAACUGAGAGGUUGAUCGGCCGCAUUGGGACUGAGACACGGCCCAGACUCCUACGGGAGGCAGCAGUGGGGGAUAUUGGUCAAUGGGGGAAACCCUGAACCAGCAACGCCGCGUGAGGGAAGACGGCCUUCGGGUUGUAAACCUAAGUGAUCAGGGACGAAGGAAGUGACGGUACCUGAAAAGCAAGCUCCGGCUAACUACGUGCCAGCAGCCGCGGUAAUACGUAGGGAGCGAGCGUUGUCCGGAUUUACUGGGUGUAAAGGGUGCGUAGGCGGGAAAGCAAGUCAGGUGUGAAAUACCGGGGCUCAACUCCGGGGCUGCGCUUGAAACUGUUUUUCUUGAGUGAAGUAGAGGCAGGCGGAAUUCCUAGUGUAGCGGUGGAAUGCGUAGAUAUUAGGAGGAACACCAGUGGCGAAGGC